Molecule: ribosomal RNA, 734 nt
Filed under: uncultured Shewanella sp.
Lineage: Bacteria; Pseudomonadati; Pseudomonadota; Gammaproteobacteria; Alteromonadales; Shewanellaceae
Description: bacterial SSU rRNA
Rfam family: Bacterial small subunit ribosomal RNA
Source: RNAcentral
GCUCAGAUUGAACGCUGGCGGCAGGCCUAACACAUGCAAGUCGAGCGGUAACACAAGGGAGCUUGCUCCUGAGGUGACGAGCGGCGGACGGGUGAGUAAUGCCUAGGUAUCUGCCCAGUCGAGGGGGAUAACAGUUGGAAACGACUGCUAAUACCGCAUACGCCCUACGGGGGAAAGGAGGGGACCUUCGGGCCUUCCGCGAUUGGAUGAACCUAGGUGGGAUUAGCUAGUUGGUGAGGUAAUGGCUCACCAAGGCGACGAUCCCUAGCUGGUCUGAGAGGAUGAUCAGCCACACUGGAACUGAGACACGGUCCAGACUCCUACGGGAGGCAGCAGUGGGGAAUAUUGCACAAUGGGCGAAAGCCUGAUGCAGCCAUGCCGCGUGUGUGAAGAAGGCUUUCGGGUUGUAAAGCACUUUCAGCGAGGAGGAAAGGUUAGUGAUUAAUACUCACUAGCUGUGACGUUACUCGCAGAAGAAGCACCGGCUAACUUCGUGCCAGCAGCCGCGGUAAUACGAGGGGUGCAAGCGUUAAUCGGAAUUACUGGGCGUAAAGCGUACGCAGGCGGUUUGUUAAGCGAGAUGUGAAAGCCCCGGGCUCAACCUGGGAACUGCAUUUCGAACUGGCAAACUAGAGUCUUGUAGAGGGGGGUAGAAUUUCAGGUGUAGCGGUGAAAUGCGUAGAGAUCUGAAGGAAUACCGGUGGCGAAGGCGGCCCCCUGGACAAAGACUGACG